AUUGAACGCUGGCGGCAUGCUUUACACAUGCAAGUCGAACGGCAGCACGGGUGCUUGCACCUGGUGGCGAGUGGCGAACGGGUGAGUAAUGCAUCGGAACGUGCCCAUGAGUGGGGGAUAGCCCGGCGAAAGCCGGAUUAAUACCGCAUACGCCCUUAGGGGGAAAGCGGGGGAUCUUCGGACCUCGCGCUAUUGGAGCGGCCGAUGUCGGAUUAGCUAGUAGGUGGGGUAAAGGCUCACCUAGGCGACGAUCCGUAGCUGGUCUGAGAGGAUGAUCAGCCACACUGGGACUGAGACACGGCCCAGACUCCUACGGGAGGCAGCAGUGGGGAAUUUUGGACAAUGGGCGAAAGCCUGAUCCAGCCAUGCCGCGUGAGUGAAGAAGGCCUCGGUUGUAAGUACGUACUUCUACGU
RNAcentral lists this ribosomal RNA (414 nucleotides) under uncultured bacterium. RNAcentral describes it as "bacterial SSU rRNA". It matches the Rfam family "Bacterial small subunit ribosomal RNA", at positions 30 to 443 of the family's 1533-position model. The record is from RNAcentral.